UACGUAGGGUGCGAGCGUUAAUCGGAAUUACUGGGCGUAAAGUGUGCGCAGGCGGCCGAGCAAGUCGAGUGUGAAAGCCCCGAGCUUAACUUGGGAACUGCGCUCGAAACUACUUGGCUUGAGUGUGGCAGAGGGAGGUGGAAUUCCACGUGUAGCGGUGAAAUGCGUAGAGAUGUGGAGGAACACCGAUGGCGAAGGCAGCCUCCUGGGCCAACACUGACGCUCAUGCACGAAAGCGUGGGGAGCAAACAGG
This 253-nucleotide ribosomal RNA is filed under the name uncultured bacterium. RNAcentral describes it as "partial 16S ribosomal RNA". It matches the Rfam family "Bacterial small subunit ribosomal RNA", at positions 524 to 776 of the family's 1533-position model. The record is from RNAcentral.